This 382-nucleotide long non-coding RNA is filed under the name Panax ginseng (ginseng). RNAcentral describes it as "long non-coding RNA (PGIN_LNC002067)". Lineage: Eukaryota; Viridiplantae; Streptophyta; Magnoliopsida; Apiales; Araliaceae. The record is from RNAcentral.
GAAAACUUUCAGAGUGAUGAACUUCAAACACCUGAUUCAACCCCUCAGAUACUUCCUGUGACAGUUAAAGCACCCAACAUAGUGACACCUGAUUUACCUCCUCGGGUAAUCCCUGAAACCCGUAAAGCACCCACCAUAGUGGCACCUGAUUUACCUCCUCGGAUAAAGCCUGAUACAGUUAAAGCACCCACCAUAGUGGCACCUGAUUUACCUCCUCGGGUAAUACCUGAUUCAGUUAAAGCACCCGCCAUAGUGGCACCUGAUUUACCUCCUCGGGUGAUACCUGAUACAGUUAAAGCACCUGCCAUAGUGGCACCCGAUUUACCUCCUCGGGUAAUGCCUGAUACAGUUAAAGUACCCACCAUUGUGGCACCUGAUUUAC